This 809-nucleotide ribosomal RNA is filed under the name uncultured Bacillota bacterium. RNAcentral's name for it is "bacterial SSU rRNA". It matches the Rfam family "Bacterial small subunit ribosomal RNA", at positions 71 to 914 of the family's 1533-position model. Lineage: Bacteria; Bacillati; Bacillota. The record is from RNAcentral.
AAAGUGGAGCAAUCCAUGAGUAAAGUGGCGUACGGGUGAGUAACACGUGGAUAAUCUGCCCUUUAGUGGGGAAUACCGUUGGGAAACCGACGACAAUACCGCAUAAGCUCGAGAGAGGAAAGCAGCAAUGCGCUGAAGGAGGAGUCCGCGGUCGAUUAGCUAGUUGGUGAGGUAAUGGCUCACCAAGGCUGUGAUCGAUAGCCGGCCUGAGAGGGCACACGGCCACACUGGCACUGAAACACGGGCCAGACUCCUACGGGAGGCAGCAGUGGGGAAUCUUGCACAAUGGGGGAAACCCUGAUGCAGCGACGCCGCGUGAGCGAUGAAGCCCUUCGGGGUGUAAAGCUCUUUCGGCAGGGAAGAUAAUGACGGUACCUGCAGAAGCAGCUGCGGCUAACUACGUGCCAGCAGCCGCGGUAAUACGUAGGCAGCAAGCGUUGUUCGGAGUUACUGGGCGUAAAGGGUGCGUAGGCGGUCCUAUAAGUAUGGUGUGAAAUCUCCCGGCUUAACUGGGAGGGUGCGCUAUAGACUGUGGGACUAGAGUGUGGGAGAGGAAAGUGGAAUUCCUGGUGUAGCGGUGAAAUGCGUAGAUAUCAGGAGGAACACCGGUGGUGUAAACGGCUUUCUGGACCAUAACUGACGCUGAGGCACGAAAGCGUGGGUAGCAAACAGGAUUAGAUACCCUGGUAGUCCACGCCCUAAACGAUGCAUAUUUGGUGUGGGUCAUUCAGUUGAUCCGUGCCGGAGCUAACGCGUUAAAUAUGCCGCCUGGGGAGUACAGUCGCAAGGCUGAAACUCAAAGGAUUGAC